CGACUCUCGACAACGGAUAUCUCGGCUCUCGCAUCGAUGAAGAACGUAGCGAAAUGCGAUACUUGGUGUGAAUUGCAGAAUCCCGUGAACCAUCGAGUCUUUGAACGCAAGUUGCGCCCGAAGCCAAUAGGCCGAGGGCACGCCUGCCUGGGUGUCACGCAAUUGCUUGCCC
RNAcentral lists this ribosomal RNA (172 nucleotides) under Billburttia capensoides. Its description in RNAcentral is "5.8S ribosomal RNA". It matches the Rfam family "5.8S ribosomal RNA". From Rfam's summary of the family: 5.8S ribosomal RNA (5.8S rRNA) is a component of the large subunit of the eukaryotic ribosome. It is transcribed by RNA polymerase I as part of the 45S precursor that also contains 18S and 28S rRNA. The record is from RNAcentral. RNAcentral also lists the same sequence under 1 other name. Lineage: Eukaryota; Viridiplantae; Streptophyta; Magnoliopsida; Apiales; Apiaceae.